GACUAGCCCCGAUUGCAGUGAAAAUCCUUUUGCUUUUUUUUGAAAAGGAAAAGAUUGUAACGGAAAGCGGGAUUAAGC
RNAcentral lists this small RNA (78 nucleotides) under Epilithonimonas arachidiradicis. RNAcentral describes it as "Chryseobacterium arachidiradicis Flavo-1 RNA". It matches the Rfam family "Flavo-1 RNA". Lineage: Bacteria; Pseudomonadati; Bacteroidota; Flavobacteriia; Flavobacteriales; Weeksellaceae. The record is from RNAcentral.